UCGUGUACCGCGCCUUCCCUGC
RNAcentral lists this unclassified non-coding RNA (22 nucleotides) under Mus musculus (house mouse). RNAcentral's name for it is "oocyte_clustered_small_RNA11563". The record is from RNAcentral. Lineage: Eukaryota; Metazoa; Chordata; Mammalia; Rodentia; Muridae.